Molecule: RNA transcript, 5277 nt
Organism: Myodes glareolus (Bank vole)
Lineage: Eukaryota; Metazoa; Chordata; Mammalia; Rodentia; Cricetidae
Gene: Tsc22d1
Gene name: TSC22 domain family member 1
Source: RefSeq, a predicted model, not a curated record
CUCCUCCCGCCCCGCACCCCACGUGAAGCGGAAUAUAAAGGGGGGUGUGUGACUGGAGGGGAAAGUGAAUGGCGAAGGACUGAAGGGGUCCCCCUUCGGUUCCCCAGCCACCUGGUUCACCCGGUUCAUCCUCCCUUCCCGAAGCUAGCCCUCGAAGGCAGGAGCAGCCGGCUUCUUCGGCCAAGGAGGAGGAGGAGGAGGAGGAGGAAUCGCGUCGGGCGGAGCUUCAGGUCCUGUUCUCCUCUCUAGCUUCUCCAUACAAAGAUUACGGUGCAGAAGGAAAUUGCACUCGCCUCCUCCGCCCCCCGGUACCCAGCACAAUGCACCAGCCGCCGGAGUCCACUGCCGCGGCCGCCGCCGCCGCAGACAUUAGUGCUAGGAAGAUGGCGCACCCGGCGAUGUUCCCUCGAAGGGGCAGCAGUGGCGGCAGCGCCUCUGCGCUCAGUGCAGCAGGUACCGUCGUCAGUGGUGCUGCUCCAUCUUCGGAGGAUUUCCCUCCUCCUUCGCUGCUCCAGCCGCCGCCUCCUGCUGCAUCUUCCACGCAGGGACCUCAGCCUCCGCCUCCACAAAGCCUGAACCUCCUCUCGCAGGCUCCGCUGCAGGCACAGCCUCUUGCGCCGGGCGGAACUCAGAUGAAAAAGAAAAGUGGCUUCCAGAUAACUAGCGUUACUCCGGCCCAGAUCUCUGCCAGCAUCAGCUCGAACAACAGCAUAGCAGAGGACACCGAGAGCUACGACGAUCUGGAUGAGUCUCACACGGAAGACCUGUCUUCUUCCGAGAUCCUUGACGUGUCUCUUUCCAGGGCCACUGACUUAGGCGAGCCUGAACGCAGCUCCUCAGAAGAGACUCUGAAUAACUUCCAGGAAGCCGAAACACCUGGGGCAGUCUCUCCUAACCAGCCCCACCUUCCUCAGCCUCAUUUGCCUCACCUCCCACCACAGAACGUUGUGAUCAAUGGGAACGCUCAUCCCCACCACCUCCAUCACCACCAUCACCUUCAUCACGGGCACCACCUUCUCCACGGACACCACCAUUCAUCCCAUGCUGCUGUGGCCACUCCGUCCAUUCCUGGAGGGCCACCCUCGAGCCCAGUGUCCCGAAAACUCUCUACAACUGGAAGUUCUGAUGGCGCUGUGCCAGUUGCUUCUGCUAUAUCAUCGAGCGGCUUACCUGCUUCCGGGAUGCCGAACCUCCGUGCCCCAAGUACUGCAGGCAGCAUAGGUAUAAAUUCUGUGCCUGGCACGAAUGUGACGAAUAAUGUUAGCGUUGCUGCUGCUGCGGGUGGUUUCAGUGCUCACGUGACAAGUGGCGUGCAUGGUAAUGCUAAUAUUAGUACAAGCAAUAUUCCUAAUGCUGCUAGUGUAAGUGUUGGGCCUGGAGUUGGCAGUGGUGUUAAUGUGAAUGCCUUGAGUGGCAUGGGCAAUGGUACUGUCUCUUCCUCUCCUGUUGCUAACAGUGUCCUUAAUGCAGCUGCAGGUAUCACUGUGGGAGUGGUUUCAAGUCCGCAGCAGCAGCAGCAGCAGCAACCAACAGUUAACACGUCAAGGUUCAGAGUUGUGAAGUUAGACUCUACUUCUGAACCCUUCAAAAAAGGUAGAUGGACUUGCACUGAGUUCUAUGAAAAAGAGAACGUCCUGCCGGCCGCAGAAGGCGUGGCCAUAAAUAAAGUGGUGGAGACCGUGAAGCAAGCCCCCACGGAAGUGUCUUCGGAGAGGGAGAGCACUAGUGGGAGUUCGGUGAGCAGUAGUGUCAGCACACUGAGCCACUACACGGAGAGUGUGGGAAGUGGCGAGAUGGGAGCCCCUGCUGUGGUGGUGCAGCAGCCUCAGCUGCCACCACCACCACCGCCAGUUCUUCCAGGUGUGGCCCUCCAGCAGAUGGAUUUCAGUAGCCCCGGGCCGCAGAGUAUUGCAGCAGCUAGUAUACCGCAGAGUAUUUCUCAGCCACAGAUGUCACAAGUCCAAUUACAGCCUCAAGAAUUGAGCUUUCAGCAGAAGCCAGGUCUUCAACCUGUACCUCUGCAAGCCGCUAGGAGUGCAGCCGCCGGUAUCCAGCCUUCGACUGUAAACGUGGUCGGUGUAACGGCAGCUGGAGGUCAGCAGCCCUCCAUUUCCAGCUUGGCUCAACCCCAACUGCCGUACCCUCAGACAGCUCCUCCAGUGCAAACUCCUCUUCCAGGGCCGCCACCCCAACAGUUACCGUAUGGGCAACAGCAACCAAUGGUUUCUACACAGCUAGCUCCAGGCCAUGGCCAGUCGAUGACUCAAAACCCGACGUCAGAAUACGGACAGCAGCAGCCAAUUCUUCAAGCAGCGAUGUCCUCUGGACAGGCCAGUUCCGCAGGAUCGGGAGCAGGACCAUCCAUGAUUCCUGCGGCCCAGCCACAGGGGCUCCAGCUGCCAGUGCAGCCCACAGCAGUACAAGCACAACCUGCAGGGGCAUCUGGGCAGCCCAUUGGCCAGGCUCAAACAGCAGUGCCGACUGUCCCAGCUGGCGGUCAAAUUGCAAAUCUUGGUCCCCAGGCCAACAUGCCCACGGCAGCACAGCAGCCAUCCACCCAAGUUACACCUUCAGUGAUCCAGCAAGGUGCUCCUCCAUCUUCACAAGUAGUCCUACCUGCUCCGACUGGGAUCAUUCAUCAGGGAGUUCAAACUAGUGCUUCAGGCCUUCCUCCACAAUUGGUUAUCGCCCCCCAGAGUACCUUGUUAACUGUGCCUCCCCAGCCGCAGGGAGUAGAAACGGUGGCUCCAGGCGUUGUUUCCCAGCAGUUGCCCGCAGGUAGUCCUUUGCCCUCCGCUAGUAGUAUUUCUGUUCCAAAUCAGGUUAGUUCAGCUGCUCCUUCUGGAAUGCCUUCCGCCCCGACAAACUUAGUUCCCCCACAGAAUAUAGCACAACCCCCGGCUACCCAAAAUGGCAAUUUGGUUCAGAGUGUUAGUCAAUCUCCCUUGAUAGCCACUAACAUAAAUUUGCCUCUGGCACAGCAGAUACCACUAAGUUCUACUCAGUUCUCUACACAAUCAUUAGCUCAGGCAAUCGGAAGCCAAACGGAAGAUGCCAGGCGCCCAGCGGAGCCCUCGGUAGUCGGCUUACCUCAGACUCUCAGUGGUGACAGUGGGGGAAUGUCAGCAGUUUCAGAUGGGAGUAGCAGCAGCCUAGCAGCCUCUGCUUCUCUCUUCCCGUUGAAGGUGCUACCGCUGACAACACCCCUGGUGGAUGGCGAAGACGAGAGCUUUGGUUUGUUUCCAAACUGGCUGCCAGAGCCAGGAGGAAGCGAAGGCAGUAUCACUAACUGUUGGUUACUACCUCCUUAAUGCUGAGACUAUACCCCUUGUUGGUUUGGUAGAGAACAGGAGAGAGCACAGUCCUCGUUCCACAACAGCUCUAUUCCAGUGCUUCUCUCCUCCCAGAGGUGCAAGGAGUGAUCCUAGAGCCACAGAUACAGCCAAGACCACGGAGAGCUUUUGACGUCAGGGGUCCACUUUCUCCACUGAACCCUUGGAGACAGAAUAUCCAGCUUCUGGAGAGAGUGGGAAGGAUAAGAAACAAGUAUCUUGAUAAUGGGAGACCGGUUUAUUUGUUCUCUAAUUGCCCAGAUUUCUUUCAACUGGUAAAACAUCAUACCUCUUCAGCAAAAGGAGUUCUUCUAGCAGAGCCCACAUGGAUGAUAUGUGUCACACAUGCCAGGACCUGCAGUUUGGAAGGCAGUGGUGAAUGGACCCAUGCAAUAUGUCUAGAAGACACAAGGAUGAGCCAGCACCUGAUCUUGUUGCUUACAAACUUCUUAAGAUUCACUCUGGUUUAUUUUUGGUCUGAAAAUGGAAAGGCUCAAAGCGAAGUAAUCUUUCAUAUUAGAGUUUUAUAUGGCCAUAAAAAUAUUUCUUAUUCUAAAGACUGAAAUAGAGGAAGCUUGAGAGUCUUGUCUUUUAGAGCAGCUCUCUGUAUUUGUUUCACUUCAAAGAUUUAUGGGACUGAAAACCGUUUUAAUCAAGUAGGCAACCCCCCACUUUAAAAAGUAGCAGAAAAAAUACAAAAAGUGUGAUAGGCCCUCUCCACCUCCUCCUCUUUGUUACCCAUUGCUAAAGGGGACUAGCAAAUAAAGGUGAACCCAACUCUUCAAGAGUCUGUUAAUGUUAAGAUGUACUCUUAGCUCAUCUCUUGCUGGUCCUGAGCCUUACCUUACUGUAAUCUGUCAGAUUAACAGAGUCUAGAGCUGUCUCAGACCAGUGGAAUCCUGUCUGUGUUCCUCAGUAGUAAAUGCCUGUUAGGUCUGUCCUCCGCACUGACGCACACUACACACGGAUGGUGCAGAGCAGUGGUGUGGGACACAGCUAAUCCACAGAGUUCUGCAGAAGCCUGCAGGUGUGAAUGAGAUCUCCAGUUGACAGGAGCUAUCAAAAUGCUGGUUUCUUUGGUUAUCUAGUAACUCUAGAAACCAGUCAGAGCUAUUAAGGAAAACUCUUAACAGUCUCCUGAUGCUGCCAGUUCCUUUUAAUUUGGAAUAAGCUUUAAGAAAAGAAAUUGUAGAGUUAAUAUAAAAACAACUGAGAUGUUAGGCUCUCAAAGUGUAAUAGCUACAUUCGCUAAAAAUAUAAUCUGUUUUUAGUCUUUCGGCUAUAAGAACAAUUUUUUCUUAGAAAUUAUAAAUCAUUUUUCAAAAGUAUAGUCCUUAAAAGUAAAUGUUAAAGAUAAUUUUGAACAGAAAAUUUUCCCCACAGAGCUCUGAAUUCCCUUGAAUGAUUACAGUUUUGUAUUCCUAACUUAAUAAGAUACUUUAUAAGUACAUAUAAACAAAAACCUGACAUUUUAGUAAGAACUCAGGGAACUAAAAGUGACAUUUGCCUAGAAAUUUAGUUGCAUUCUUUAAACCACUGUAGAAACAAUUUUAUGGCCUGAGGUCAUUAGCCUUUUGUCUCAGCACUGAAGACAGAAAGUGGUUUAAGCCUGGGAUCUCAAGCUUGAGUUAAGUUCUCUCUGUUCUUAAAGUAUGCAAAAGAGAUGUCAGUGCGGUUCCAUUACCUCAUGCACGGCAAGCUAUUGCAAAGUGAAACUUUUUGUAUGUUACUGUGUACUGAUUUGUUGGAACUUUUAAUUUUGAUGCAUUUUCCUUUCAGAUUUUAAAGAACAAUUUCGUGUUACAAUAUGCAACCCUAUAUCAUUUCCGUGUUUAUUUUAUGAAUAUUAAUAUAAGUUAUUUUUUUCUAGAAUGAUUAAUUGUGUAAUAUUUGUAUUAUGUGAUCAUUUGAAAACUAAUAAAUAUUUUCUCCAUGGAAAAAUGCA